CAGGCCCCGGCGCCAUAAAACUAUUUGAGUAAAGUUUUUUUACUCAGCCUGAGAAUUUUCUCAAUUUUUUUAUUCUCAGCAAAAUGCACCGCCAUAAAAAAAUUCUCAGAUAUUUUCUUACUCAAAGUUAAGAAUAUUCUUAAAUAUUUGAGUAUAGCCAAAACCAUACUUAAGUAUAUAAAAAAAUCUUAAAUGUUUUUUUUUUAAGGUAAUUU
RNAcentral lists this long non-coding RNA (215 nucleotides) under Mytilus galloprovincialis (Mediterranean mussel). The record is from RNAcentral. Lineage: Eukaryota; Metazoa; Mollusca; Bivalvia; Mytilida; Mytilidae.